UGGAGGGCAAGUCUGGUGCCAGCAGCCGCGGUAAUUCCAGCUCCAAUAGCGUAUAUUAAAGUUGUUGCAGUUAAAAAGCUCGUAGUUGAACCUUGGGUCUGGCUGGUCGGUCCGCCUCACCGCGAGUACUGAUCCGGCUGGACCUUUCCUUCUGGGGAACCUCAUGGCCUUCACUGGCUGUGGGGGGAACCAGGACUUUUACUGUGAAAAAAUAGAGUGUUCAAAGCAGGCCUUUGCUCGAAUACAUUAGCAUGGAAUAAUAGAAUAGGACGUGCGGUUCUAUUUUGUUGGUUUCUAGGACCGCCGUAAUGAUUAAUAGGGAUAGUCGGGGGCAUCAGUAUUCAGCUGUCAGAGGUGAAAUUCUUGGAUUUGCUGAAGACUAACUACUGCGAAAGCAUUCGCCAAGGAUGUUUUCAUUAAUCAGGGAACGAAAGUUAGGGGAUCGAAGACGAUCAGAUACCGUCGUAGUCUUAACCAUAAACUAUGCCGACUAGGGAUCGGACGGGAUUCUAUAAUGACCCGUUCGGCGCCUUACGGGAAAC
This 542-nucleotide ribosomal RNA is filed under the name uncultured Eurotiomycetes. RNAcentral describes it as "SSU rRNA". It matches the Rfam family "Eukaryotic small subunit ribosomal RNA", at positions 549 to 1098 of the family's 1831-position model. Lineage: Eukaryota; Fungi; Ascomycota; Eurotiomycetes. The record is from RNAcentral.